Molecule: unclassified non-coding RNA, 302 nt
Organism: Erinaceus europaeus (western European hedgehog)
Lineage: Eukaryota; Metazoa; Chordata; Mammalia; Eulipotyphla; Erinaceidae
Gene: 7SK
Rfam family: 7SK RNA
About the family: 7SK was discovered as an abundant small nuclear RNA in the mid-70s but a possible function has only recently been suggested.
Source: Ensembl
GGAUGCGAGGGGAUCUGGCUGUGACAGCUGUCAUCCCAUUGAUCCCCAGGGUUGAUUCCGCUGAUCUGGUUGGCUAGGUGGGGGUCCCCUUCCUCCCUCAACACUCCAUGUGCAUCCCUCCUGAAGUUGCACACUCAGUCAAAAAGGCCGGCCUUCCCUGAAUAGAGAUGGACUGGUACUAGUAGAGGAUAUACGAGUGACUGCUAGAACCUCCAACAAGCUCUCAAGAUUCUUUCUCUUCACAUCCUUUCCAACAUUUAUCCUCUCAUGUUUUGUUGAUGAAGGCCAUUCUUACAAGUAUG